AAAUCCAAAGAAGGCCUAUCAGUAUCCUGAGUAGGGCGGGACACGUGAAAUCCCGCUUGAAUCCGCGAGGACCAUCUCGCAAGGCUAAAUACUAACCAGUGACCGAUAGUGAACCAGUACCGUGAGGGAAAGGUGAAAAGAACCCCGGGAGGGGAGUGAAAGAGAACCUGAAACCGUGUGCCUACAAGUAGUCAGAGCCCGUUAACGGGUAAUGGCGUGCCUUUUGUAGAAUGAACCGGCGAGUUGCGUUAGUCAGCAAGGUUAAGUCAGAAAAGACGGAGCCGCAGCGAAAGCGAGUCUGAAGAGGGCGAGCAGUUGGCUGACGCAGACCCGAAACCAAGUGACCUACCCAUGACCAGGUUGAAGGCGCGGUAAAACGCGCUGGAGGACCGAACCCACGUAAGUUGAAAAUUGCGGGGAUGAGUUGUGGGUAGCGGUGAAAUUCCAAACGAACUUGGAGAUAGCUGGUUCUCUCCGAAAUAGCUUUAGGGCUAGCCUCGCAAAGAGGAUGCUGGAGGUAGAGCUCUGUUUGGACUAGGGGCCCGUCAAGGGUUACUGAAUUCAGAUAAACUGCGAAUUCCAGACAUUUAUGUGCGGGAGUCAGACUGCGAGUGAUAAGAUCCGUAGUCGAAAGGGAAACAGCCCAGAUCACCAGUUAAGGUCCCAAAAUUCAUGCUAAGUGGAAAAGGAUGUGGAGUUGCGCAGACAACUAGGACGUUGGCUCAGAAGCAGCCAUCAUUCAAAGAGUGCGUAAUAGCUCACUAGUCGAGUGACGCCGCGCCGAAAAUUUACCGGGGCUAAGCAUGAUACCGAAACUGUGGAUGUGCGUUUAUGCACGUGGUAGGAGAGCGUUCUAGCGGCGGUGAAGCAUGACCGAGAGGACAUGUGGAGCUUCUAGAAGUGAGAAUGCCGGUAUGAGUAACGAAAGACAGGUGAGAAUCCUGUCCGCCGCAAGACUAAGGUUUCCUGGGGCAGGCUCGUCCGCCCAGGGUAAGUCGGGACCUAAGGCGAGGCCGAGAGGCGUAGUCGAUGGACAACAGGUUGAAAUUCCUGUACUGCACCGAAUCGUUAUGAGCGAUGGAGGGACGCAGGAGGCUAGCAGCGCGUGGUGCUGGAUACCACGUUCAAGCGUCAAGUCUGAGAGCGAGUCAAAUGCUUGCUCUCAUAAGGACAAGGCGUGAUGAGGAGCGAAAUUAAAGUAGCGAAGGCUGCGACGUCACACUGCCGAGAAAAGCUUCUAGCCAGAAACGGUGCACCCGUACCGCAAACCGACACAGGUAGUCGAGGAGAGUAUCCUCAGGUGAGCGAGAGAACUCUCGUUAAGGAACUCGGCAAAAUGGCCCCGUAACUUCGGGAGAAGGGGCGCUGGUCGCAAGAUCAGCCGCAGUGAAAAGGCCCAAGCAACUGUUUAUCAAAAACACAGGCAUCUGCAAAAUCGUAAGAUGAAGUAUAGGUGCUGACACCUGCCCGGUGCUGGAAGGUUAAGAGGAGAGCUUAGCGCAAGCGAAGGUUUGAAUUGAAGCCCCAGUAAACGGCGGCCGUAACUAUAACGGUCCUAAGGUAGCGAAAUUCCUUGUCGGGUAAGUUCCGACCUGCACGAAAGGUGUAAUGAUUUGGGCACUGUCUCAACGAGAGACUCGGUGAAAUUAUAAUACCCGUGAAGAUGCGGGUUACCCGCGACAGGACGGAAAGACCCCAUGGAGCUUUACUGCAGUUUAAUAUUGGGUAUCUGUCAAGCAUGUACAGGAUAGGUAGGAGCCGGAGAAGAUAGGACGCCAGUCUUAUC
RNAcentral lists this ribosomal RNA (1786 nucleotides) under Lactobacillus delbrueckii. RNAcentral's name for it is "partial 23S ribosomal RNA". It matches the Rfam family "Bacterial large subunit ribosomal RNA", at positions 382 to 2181 of the family's 2925-position model. Lineage: Bacteria; Bacillati; Bacillota; Bacilli; Lactobacillales; Lactobacillaceae. The record is from RNAcentral.